This 253-nucleotide ribosomal RNA is filed under the name uncultured bacterium. Its description in RNAcentral is "partial 16S ribosomal RNA". It matches the Rfam family "Bacterial small subunit ribosomal RNA", at positions 524 to 776 of the family's 1533-position model. The record is from RNAcentral.
UACGUAGGGUGCGAGCGUUAAUCGGAAUUACUGGGCGUAAAGCGUGCGCAGGCGGUUUUGUAAGCCAGAUGUGAAAUCCCCGGGCUUAACCUGGGAAUGGCAUUUGGGACUGCAAGGCUCGAGUGCGGCAGAGGAGACUGGAAUUCCUGGUGUAGCAGUGAAAUGCGUAGAUAUCAGGAGGAACACCGAUGGCGAAGGCAGGUCUCUGGACCAACACUGACGCUGAGGAGCGAAAGCCAGGGGAGCAAACGGG